CGGGUGCCGAGAGCCGCCGCUGCCGGGGCUCGCGUGGCUCCCCCGGUCCCCCCGCACCUGGAGCGGCGCCAGCCCGGGAGCGAGUCCCGGCUGUGCAAACCCCCGCUCUGUCACCCCUGGAGCCGCCGCACCCCUCAGGGGAGAGAGCAUCCCCGGGCUUCCCCUUCCCCCGCCUGCGCAGCUCCGGGGCUCCUGCGGAUCCAGCGGGGCUGGGAGGAGCCCCUCGGCCGGGCCGGGCACGCUUCCACUCGGGCCGCUUCUGCAACACCUUCCAGAUCACAGGAGCUACUGAGCUUGAGAGGGAUCCUAAAAUACAACUCUCGAGUAAACGGCCCGUGUGAGAAUUGAACUCACAAUCCAGCCAUUCCUGGGAUUCUGCUCCAAUCAACUGAGCUAAUCUGGGCUUGAACCUACCUAGGAAGGGAGUUUUCCCUAAAUCCCGGCUCUCUGGGGCUGCCUUUCCUGCUGGAAUAUGCAUUUUAAAUUUACCCCACCAAGCUUCUCCCGUGUCGAGAACCCUGUGCCUUCCCACCGUGGGCACCAGCUACAUCAACUCCUCGCUGAUCCAGGACCACAGGCAUCCAUUCCACAUGACACCCGUGCCUUACGACCUGCAGGAUGAGUUCUGAACAGCCCCCAAGCACUAAAAAUAAUUUUAAAAAUCAAGAUAAUGAUUUUCUGCUGAACAGAAUUUGAGGUUUCAGCAGCAUUAGGUUGGUUUCGUUGUGAAAGAAGCGAAAAAAAAUGGAGAAACAGAAAUUGUCUUCUGUUUGGAGAGGCUGAAUUUUGGGGGGGUUUUUGUGUCUCUCGACCGGUUUAGAUUGUCACCUGACAGGAAAGGGGAGAAAUCUAAACCUGUCCAGAGGUUUAGGUUUUAACGUUCUUAACUUUGUGGUACACCUUGUAACCAACAUUACACUGCAACACCAACGUUACAUCGUAACACAGACCUUGCUUUAAAAUGGUUUUUCUUCAUAACAGGUAAGUUGGGGAGAAUGAAAUCCUGUCGCAAACGCUUUUCCGAGCAGGAUUUGCUGCGUAGGAAGUGGCACGGCGGCGUUGUCUGAUCGCAAGAGUGGGAUCAGGCACAGCAAAAAGAAACUUUUUGGGGAGCCAGGGGUUAAACUCACUGGCUGAAGGUGCAGUUUGGUCCCUUUUCCUCCAAAAAGAAAUGGAGGUGGGACGUCUCCCUGGCCUUUCUGCUCUUCCAAGAAGGGAAUUUGCACAAAAACUGCACAAAAAUUACACGGAAAGUCAAGGGAUGCAGAGCUCCUUUUUGGGAGGGGGUCUAGUCCUAGAAGGGCUUCCAAUAAAGCAGGGUGCUGCUGUCCAGGGCAGUUGGAGUUGUUCUGUGCCUUCUUUGGGGGUGA
Molecule: long non-coding RNA, 1370 nt
Organism: Poecile atricapillus (Black-capped chickadee)
Lineage: Eukaryota; Metazoa; Chordata; Aves; Passeriformes; Paridae
Exons: 3
Source: RefSeq, a predicted model, not a curated record